UGUAACGUUACAUUAUGCUGUUACCACAGUGGUGGUUAACAUUGCUGUUUUUCUUUUCUGUAUUGUACGUUAGAUAAUGAAGUUGACGGAGAAGCAGUGGACUAUGGAUUGACUGAGAGGAUGGUUUCAUACCUCUUUGAAGGAUCGUUUAAGAAGCAAGCCAAAUUCAACCGAUUUGUACAGCAGUGGAAAAAAACCGUGACACUAACCGUUGAGCCUGUCCCGGUACAUUCAGAGAAGGCUACAGUGGAAUCAAGAAUGAAUAUCUGCCGAAGAUUUUAAGAUGGCUUUAAGAUCCUAGUACCCACAGUGCUUAGACUGACUCAAAGGAAAUCUCCCCUUGCAGAUCUGGCUUUGGAGGAAAGAGAGGCUGCCCUCACCGAAGAUGUCCCUGGGAUUGAUUUCAGAGCUGCAAUCCUGCUGUUGCCGAUCCUGUUCAGGGAGAAAAAUGACAUUCUCAUCAUACUUGGAGAGGAUCAGCCUGGUUGUAGCGCUAUCCUAUUGCAUGCAGAGGGAGUUUGAAAG
Molecule: long non-coding RNA, 525 nt
Organism: Sander lucioperca (pikeperch)
Lineage: Eukaryota; Metazoa; Chordata; Actinopteri; Perciformes; Percidae
Exons: 4
Source: RefSeq, a predicted model, not a curated record